RNAcentral lists this ribosomal RNA (440 nucleotides) under uncultured bacterium. RNAcentral's name for it is "partial 16S ribosomal RNA". It matches the Rfam family "Bacterial small subunit ribosomal RNA", at positions 338 to 795 of the family's 1533-position model. The record is from RNAcentral.
CCUACGGGUGGCAGCAGUGGGGAAUAUUGCACAAUGGGGGAAACCCUGAUGCAGCGACGCCGCGUGAGUGAAGAAGUAUUUCGGUAUGUAAAGCUCUGUCAGCAGGGAAGAAAAUGACGGUACCUGACCAAGAAGCCCCGGCUAACUACGUGCCAGCAGCCGCGGUAAUACGUAGGGGGCAAGCGUUAUCCGGAUUUACUGGGUGUAAAGGGAGCGUAGACGGGAGUGCAAGUCUGGAGUGAAAGGCGGAGGCUCAACCCCCGGAAUGCUCUGGAAACUGGCAGGCUGGAGUGCAGGAGAGGUGAGUGGAAUUCCUAGUGUAGCGGUGAAAUGCGUAGAUAUUAGGAGGAACACCAGUGGCGAAGGUGGCUUACUGGACUGUAACUGACGUUGAGGCACGAAAGCGUGGGGAGCAAACAGGAUUAGAUACCCCUGUAGUC